GAUGAACGCUAGCGGCAGGCCUAACACAUGCAAGUCGAGGGGCAGCACGUUAAGUUAGCAAUAACUUAUGGUGGCGACCGGCGGACGGGUGCGUAACGCGUAUGUAACCUACCUUUAAUUGGGGGAUAAUUCGGAGAAAUCUGGUCUAAUACCCCAUAACAUCCCGGGAGGCAUCUCCUGGGGUUAGAAAUUCAGGUGAUUAGAGAUGGACAUACGUAACAUUAGUUAGUUGGUGAGGUAACGGCUCACCAAGACUACGAUGUUUAGGGGGGCGGAGAGGUUGACCCCCCGCAACUGAACUGAGACGCAGUCCAGACUCCGACGCGAGGCAUCCGAGUGGAAUAUUGUUCGAUGAGGGCAGCCCUGAACCAGCCGUGCCGAGUGCAGGAAGACGGGUCUAUGAAUUGUACACUGCUUGUGUACGAGGGUAAAGUGGGGUACGUGUACCCUUUUGAAAGUAUCGUACGAAUAAGGAUCGGCUAACUCCGUGCCAGACGCCGCGGUAA
Molecule: ribosomal RNA, 506 nt
Filed under: uncultured bacterium
Lineage: Bacteria
Description: partial 16S ribosomal RNA
Rfam family: Bacterial small subunit ribosomal RNA
Source: RNAcentral